CAGCAGCCACGGGAAUACGAAGGGGGCUAGCGUUGUUCGGAUUUACUGGGCGUAAAGGGCGCGUAGGCGGACUGAUAAGUCAGGGGUGAAAUCCCAAGGCUCAACCUUGGAACUGCCUUUGAUACUGUUUGUCUUGAGUUCGAGAGAGGUAAGUGGAACUGCGAGUGUAGAGAUGAAAUUCGUAGAUAUUCGCAAGAACACCAGUGGCGAAGGCGGCUUACUGGCUCGAAACUGACGCUGAGGCGCGAAAGCGUGGGGAGCAAACAGGAUUAGAUACCCCAGUAGUCCCUGUCUCUUAUAC
RNAcentral lists this ribosomal RNA (301 nucleotides) under uncultured bacterium. RNAcentral describes it as "partial 16S ribosomal RNA". It matches the Rfam family "Bacterial small subunit ribosomal RNA", at positions 509 to 807 of the family's 1533-position model. The record is from RNAcentral.